Molecule: ribosomal RNA, 443 nt
Filed under: uncultured bacterium
Lineage: Bacteria
Description: partial 16S ribosomal RNA
Rfam family: Bacterial small subunit ribosomal RNA
Source: RNAcentral
CCUACGGGAGGCAGCAGUGGGGAAUAUUGGGCAAUGGGCGCAAGCCUGACCCAGCAACGCCGCGUGAAGGAAGAAGGCCUUCGGGUUGUAAACUUCUUUUCUCAGGGAUGAAGACAAUGACGGUACCUCAGUAACAAGCCACGGCUAACUACGUGCCAGCAGCCGCGGUAAUACGUAGGUGGCAAGCGUUAUCCGGAAUUACUGGGUGUAAAGGGUGCGUAGGCGGUAAAGUAAGUCAGAGGUGAAAUACAGGGGCUCAACCUCGGGCCUACCGUUGAAACUUUUAUACUUGAGUACUGGAGGGGCAGAUGGAAUUCCUAGUGUAGCGGUGAAAUGCGUAGAUAUUAGGAGGAACACCAGGGGCGAAGGCGAUCUGCUGGACUGUAACUGACGCUGAGGCGCGAAAGCGUGGGGAGCAAACAGGAUUAGAUACCUGAGUAGUC